UUCAAAGUCCCUUCAACCUUAGGGACAGACACAUCAAAAUCUCCUUUUACUUUGGGUCCUUUCAAAUCCAGGUCAACAUCAGGUAUGGAGAUCUUGGGAGCUUUGAUAUUUAUUUCAGGCAUCUUGAACUUGGGGCCCUUUAGUUUCGCAUCUGGACCUUCGAUAUUCACAUCAGGAACAUCAACGUCCACUUUGGGUCCUGAGACAUCAAUGUCAGCCUUGGGCAGGUUCACAUCCACAUCUGGGCCCUCUCCUUUGAAGCCAGGCAUGCUGAACUUGGGCAUUUUCACUUUGGGCAUUUUUAAGUGCCAGUCUGGGCCUUGAACGUCCACAUCUGGGCCCUCUCCUUUGAAGCCAGGCAUGCUGAACUUGGGCAUUUUCACCUUGGGCAUCUUCAGGUGCCAGUCUGGGCCUUGAACCUCCACAUCUGGGGCAUCAAUGUCCAUUUUGGGUCCUUUGAUUUCAAC
RNAcentral lists this long non-coding RNA (467 nucleotides) under Homo sapiens (human). RNAcentral describes it as "HSALNT0175991". The record is from RNAcentral. Lineage: Eukaryota; Metazoa; Chordata; Mammalia; Primates; Hominidae.